This 110-nucleotide ribosomal RNA is filed under the name Treponema sp. Lineage: Bacteria; Pseudomonadati; Spirochaetota; Spirochaetia; Treponematales; Treponemataceae. The record is from RNAcentral.
GCCGGCGGCCAUGGCGGGGUGGCAAUACCCGUUCCCGUUCCGAACACGGAAGUCAAGCACCCCUGCGCCGAUGAUACUCCCAUCCGGGGGAAAGUAGGCCGCCGCCGGCU